This 468-nucleotide ribosomal RNA is filed under the name uncultured bacterium. Its description in RNAcentral is "partial 16S ribosomal RNA". It matches the Rfam family "Bacterial small subunit ribosomal RNA", at positions 28 to 507 of the family's 1533-position model. The record is from RNAcentral.
GACGAACGCUGGCGGCGUGCUUAACACAUGCAAGUCGAACGGAAAGGCCCUGCUUUUGUGGGAUGCUCGAGUGGCGAACGGGUGAGUAACACGUGAGUAACCUGCCCUUGACUUUGGGAUAACUUCAGGAAACUGGGGCUAAUACCGGAUAGGAGCUCCUGCUGCAUGGUGGGGGUUGGAAAGUUUCGGCGGUUGGGGAUGGACUCGCGGCUUAUCAGCUUGUUGGUGGGGUAGUGGCUUACCAAGGCUUUGACGGGUAGCCGGCCUGAGAGGGUGACCGGCCAAAUUGGGACUGAGAUACGGCCCAGACUCCUACGGGAGGCAGCAGUGGGGAAUAUUGCACAAUGGGCGGAAGCCUGAUGCAGCAACGCCGCGUGCGGGAUGACGGCCUUCGGGUUGUAAACCGCUUUCGCCUGUGACGAAGCGUGAGUGACGGUAAUGGGUAAAGAAGCACCGGCUAACUACGUG